Molecule: transfer RNA, 73 nt
Filed under: Parcubacteria group bacterium
Lineage: Bacteria
Also listed under: 1 other name
Description: tRNA-Thr
Rfam family: tRNA
About the family: Transfer RNA (tRNA) molecules are approximately 80 nucleotides in length. Their secondary structure includes four short double-helical elements and three loops (D, anti-codon, and T loops).
Source: RNAcentral
GCCACCUUAGCUCAGUUGGUAGAGCGAUCGCUUCGUAAGCGAUAGGUCCCCAGUUCAAUCCUGGGAGGUGGCU